CCUACGGGAGGCAGCAGUGAGGAAUAUUGGUCAAUGGCCGAGAGGCUGAACCAGCCAAGUCGCGUGAGGGAAGACUGCCCUACGGGUUGUAAACCUCUUUUAUCCGGGGGUAAAGCUAUCCACGUGUGGUUCUUUGCGGGUACCCCAUGAAUAAGCACCGGCUAAUUCCGUGCCAGCAGCCGCGGUAAUACGGAGGGUGCGAGCGUUAUCCGGAUUUAUUGGGUUUAAAGGGUGCGAAGGCGGGUGUGUAAGGCGGCGGUAAAAUUUUGGGGCUCAACCCGGGAGUGCCGUGGAAACUGGAGCCCUUGAGUGCGCGAGAGGUAGGCGGAAUGCGUGGUGUAGCGGUGAAAUGCAUAGAUAUCACGAAGAACUCCGAUUGCGAAGGCAGCAUGCCGGAGCGUAACUGACGCUGAUGCACGAAAGCGCGGGUAUCGAACAGGAUUAGAUACCCGUGUAGUC
RNAcentral lists this ribosomal RNA (459 nucleotides) under uncultured bacterium. Its description in RNAcentral is "partial 16S ribosomal RNA". It matches the Rfam family "Bacterial small subunit ribosomal RNA", at positions 338 to 795 of the family's 1533-position model. The record is from RNAcentral.